CAACCCUCGAGCCCGACUCUUUUGAGGACGGCUCGGCGUUGGGGGACGGCAGACUCCCCCCGGCAUCUCGCCGGGGACGCCGCCCCCGAAAUCUAGUGGCGGCCCUCCGAGGCGACCUCUGCGUAGUAACUUGUUCUCGCACCGGAAAGCUCAGAGCGGCCACGCCGUAAAACCCCAACUUUUUUCAGG
This 189-nucleotide unclassified non-coding RNA is filed under the name uncultured Verticillium. RNAcentral's name for it is "sequence contains ITS2". The record is from RNAcentral. Lineage: Eukaryota; Fungi; Ascomycota; Sordariomycetes; Hypocreales.